Molecule: long non-coding RNA, 628 nt
Filed under: Rosa chinensis
Lineage: Eukaryota; Viridiplantae; Streptophyta; Magnoliopsida; Rosales; Rosaceae
Description: sRNA RchiOBHm_Chr2g0110661
Source: RNAcentral
CCCGAAGCAUCUUCUCCAGCACUAUUUGCGACGCUCGUCCGGUGGUGGUCCAGGGUCCAGCACUAGUCUCGGCUUUAGUCGUGCGAUGUUGUGGUGCCGUUGCUGGACGAGUGGUUGUUUCUAAGGCUUGCUCUGGUUUGCAAGGAGAGGUCUGCACGACGGCUAACGGAUGCGGUCGACGAUCUUGUUCUUAGCUUGCUCAUCUCUGUUGCAGUUAUGCUCGUAGGUAUCAGAUCAAGGAGGGCAGUGACGGCACCCGACUGAUGUCAGUACCAAGCAGUUGCUGAUGGUUUGGUGGGAUGGAUUUGGGGAUCAGAUCUUUCACGCGCGGAACCAUUUGGUUGCACUAAUGAUGACGUCGAGAUGGUGACAGUGGUUCCCCUCUUGUUCUGUGGCAGCGCGGUCGCGAGGUAUCUCAGCUGCAGCGGUUAUGGUAUCUAGGCGGCUCUUUGGUCUAGUGCAGGGUUUCCUUGGGCUCUUUUAGGCUUCUAUGUAGUUUUGUCUAAUUACAAUAAUUUCUUUUUGGAAGCUAAGCACUUAUGUGCACUCUAUGUAGUAGUAUCAAAGGAGGAGUCCUGUUAUGUCUAAUGAGUGAGUUUAUUGUCUAUGUACCACUAUUGGAUACUAC